GGCUCAGGACGAACGCUGGCGGCGUGCUUAACACAUGCAAGUCGAACGGAAAGGCCCUGCUUUUGUGGGGUGCUCGAGUGGCGAACGGGUGAGUAACACGUGAGUAACCUGCCCUUGACUUUGGGAUAACUUCAGGAAACUGGGGCUAAUACCGGAUAGGAGCUCCUGCUGCAUGGUGGGGGUUGGAAAGUUUCGGCGGUUGGGGAUGGACUCGCGGCUUAUCAGCUUGUUGGUGGGGUAGUGGCUUACCAAGGCUUUGACGGGUAGCCGGCCUGAGAGGGUGACCGGCCACAUUGGGACUGAGAUACGGCCCAGACUCCUACGGGAGGCAGCAGUGGGGAAUAUUGCACAAUGGGCGGAAGCCUGAUGCAGCAACGCCGCGUGCGGGAUGACGGCCUUCGGGUUGUAAACCGCUUUCGCCUGUGACGAAGCGUGAGUGACGGUAAUGGGUAAAGAAGCACCGGCUAACUACGUGCCAGCAGCCGCGGUGAUACGUAGGGUGCGAGCGUUGUCCGGAUUUAUUGGGCGUAAAGGGCUCGUAGGUGGUUGAUCGCGUCGGAAGUGUAAUCUUGGGGCUUAACCCUGAGCGUGCUCG
Molecule: ribosomal RNA, 595 nt
Filed under: Cutibacterium acnes
Lineage: Bacteria; Bacillati; Actinomycetota; Actinomycetes; Propionibacteriales; Propionibacteriaceae
Description: bacterial SSU rRNA
Rfam family: Bacterial small subunit ribosomal RNA
Source: RNAcentral